AUUAGGGGCUCUGGAAAGAGCCUCCGGGUCGCUUAGCGCUUACCGCGUUAACGGCCUGUGUUGUAAAAGCCCACAAGGCAGAUCAACGAGAUUGCGACUGGAACGAAGUUGUCCUGAGGGACGGGGAAGCGUUUUACGCACUAACCAGCAAGCUGCACAUAGAAACUGCAUUGCCCAAGACAUCCACGAGUCAGACGGCAACCAAAGAACAGGCUUACCGGCC
Molecule: non-coding RNA, 223 nt
Organism: Vibrio sp.
Lineage: Bacteria; Pseudomonadati; Pseudomonadota; Gammaproteobacteria; Vibrionales; Vibrionaceae
Source: Rfam